Non-coding RNA from Podospora didyma, 84 nucleotides. Lineage: Eukaryota; Fungi; Ascomycota; Sordariomycetes; Sordariales; Podosporaceae. The record is from the annotation of a GenBank genome assembly.
GCCCGCAUAGCUCAGGGGUAGAGCGUAUCACUAGUAACCAUCACAGUCAUGAUAAGGUCAUCAGUUCAAUUCUGAUUGUGGGCA